AAUAAAGAAAGUUGCCGGCCGUGGCUGCCAUGGACAUGGCUGCGCUGGAGUCCGAGUCAUCGAUGAUGGGAGAACACCAGGGUUCCCUUGUGCUGGCCAUCCUGUCGUCCAUCCUCCUCUUUGUCAUCACGCUGGUGUUCAAUGGUCUGGCGGGACCUGGAAUAUAUCCAUUUCUGGGGACAACGGCCAACAUAUCAGGGGAGUAUGAGACGGAGAUCACGCCUGCAGGCUGGACCUUCGCCAUCUGGUCUCUUAUAUACGUGUGGCUGGUCCUCAUGUUCGUCUACAUCCUCUCCGGCUGCUGCAGGAAAAACUCCUACGGCUAUGUGUACUGCAGUCCUCCUGUCCUUUCACAUGGCUUUUUCAUGGCAUGGUGCAUGAACAUGGGCUUGAACACUGCAUGGCUGUUUCUGUGGGAUAGAAGCUUGAUGAUCGUUGCCGCUGUGUUCCUUCUCCUGAUUGCCGGCUCAAACUACAUCAUGAUCUCCUUCGCCUGCCGCGGUCUCCAUGUUCACGGCGCGUGGCUCAGCAAAUAUCACAGACUCGAUCUUUGGCUGCACCGUGUGUGUGUUCAGAAUGGUCUGGCCUUGUACGCUACAUGGACAACGGUCGCCACUCUUGUUAAUCUGACCAUUGUGCUCGACUACGAUGCAGAGAUGCUUCCAGAGAACGCUGCCACAGUCACUCUAUCCGUGCUUACGUGUAUUUUGCUGGCCUGGUGUGUUUUAGAGAACUGGGUCCUGGAGAGGCAUGUGCGCUACAUCGUGACAGUGUAUCCAGUGGUGAUCUGGGCCCUCUGUGGGGCCGUGUCCAGCCACUUCGACCCCAGCGCACCCAGCCAGAGUGGCCUCUUCCUAGUGGCGCUCCUGGCCCUGUCCUGCGCGCUGUGUGCUGUGAAGCUUGGCCUGGCGGUCUGGAGGCACGUCAAGCGGCCCCUGUAUCAAGACGUGAAGGCAGAGGACAUGGAGCCCAUGGAAAUUGCUCAAAGACAGAAAAAGAUUUUUAAAUGAACAUUGUUGCACUUAACCCAGAAGAUUAGACACAACAUCCGAAUUAAUGAUAUAUUUUGCAUACUUUUGUAUUUAUAAUGACUUUUGCGUAUUUUGUGUCAAUUGUGUGUUUGGCUCAAAGCCCAAUUUUGUGUCAUUUGUAUUUUUAACGAAGUUGAAAAAAAAAACAAAUAUGUGCUUUAGUACAUUCUGUUGAACAAAUAAUAUAAAUAAUGUUGUAAAUGUUGUUGAAUGAUUUUCUUUUUGUAAUGUGAAAAUAAAAC
RNAcentral lists this long non-coding RNA (1273 nucleotides) under Gadus morhua (Atlantic cod). RNAcentral describes it as "lncRNA (ENSGMOG00000029561.1)". Lineage: Eukaryota; Metazoa; Chordata; Actinopteri; Gadiformes; Gadidae. The record is from RNAcentral.